AACGCGGUGGGAGCGGCGGAAGUGGCGUCCUGACGGGCGCACUAUUCCACCAAGCGCGGGAAACAGGCGGUGGUGCGCAUUGACCGCCCGACUGAGGUGGCGCCGACGACGACGGCCAUGGCCUCCCGCAGAAAGCUACGUACAGCUUUGGAAGAAAGAAAACUCAAAGUGCUUGCACACAUCUCUUUGUCCGGCUCACGGGAGGUUACCAGUAGUAAGUGGCCAUUAGGAUUAAUCAGAACUUAGUACAAGAGAUCGUGCAUGUUCUUGGCUGACCUCACAGCGUAGCGCCAGGAAGGCUCUCUUGCUUCCUUUGACUGGUAACUUUUCUUUUUUGCUCUGAGGGUGUGGCUUGGGCACUAAACUAGGCCUGGAAAGCGUUAGAUUGGCUCCGGGCCAUGUGAAUUGCACCACUUAAUCGCUGAGUAGGUUCUUUAAGAUAUAGCACUAGAAAAAUGAUUAGGCUUUGCUUCUCUGAUCGAUCGUUGAGCUAACCAAUUUGUUUAUGGCCUCUAGGUACCGAACUGCAUCAACGGCGACUAAGCGCCAUGUGGAUUCACACUGUCUGGUGCCAUGCCUGUAAAUGGAUUCGGCUACUUGGUCAAAAGGAUCAUCGUUUCUCGAUCUCACGUUUUUAAGAUUCCAAUUGAAUGAAUCUCAG
Molecule: long non-coding RNA, 661 nt
Filed under: Triticum aestivum (bread wheat)
Lineage: Eukaryota; Viridiplantae; Streptophyta; Magnoliopsida; Poales; Poaceae
Description: long non-coding RNA (TAES_LNC027712)
Source: RNAcentral